Molecule: long non-coding RNA, 1347 nt
Organism: Dromiciops gliroides (monito del monte)
Lineage: Eukaryota; Metazoa; Chordata; Mammalia; Microbiotheria; Microbiotheriidae
Exons: 6
Source: RefSeq, a predicted model, not a curated record
GUUGCCAAGGUCACACCAGUUAGUAAGUAGCAGAGCUCUGCUUCAAACCCCAGUUUUAAGCCACAUUUCCUUGCCUCGCUCAUCAAGCACAUUCUUUUUUUUUUUUUUUUUUUUUGCAGGGCAAUGGGGUUAAGUGACUUGCCCAGGGUCACACAGCUAGUAAGUGUCAAGUGUCUGAGGCCGGAUUCGAACUCAGGAUGGAAUGAGGAUGACAUCAGCUGAGGGCUCCUGGGAGAAAAACAAUGCCUAAAUACAGUUCGUUAUUGCUUCACCAUUCCAUUCUCAGGCUGUUAGAAGCCCACCCCAGCUCUUUGUCCUUUCCGGCCUCAGCCAUCCUUGAAGUGCAAGAAAGUAUUAGAAGAGUUUUUGUGGCUGUGGAUCUGUGGACUUCCCUGAAAUGAGAACCACAGGAUGGUUGGACAUAUUCACCUUUCCAACAACAGUAUAUGACUGUGCCUUCCUACCCACAGUUCCACCAACAUUGGCUAUCUUCUGGGGCUGGGAGUAGGAGAAAAGAUCCUCUCGAUUUAUUUCCAACCCAGGCUGCCCUCACUGGAACGAUAGAUCGUGUGGUCUUCUCCUUAUUUGCUGAAAUUUAGGCUGGUGUCUGACAGUUUUAUCCCAAAUGGCGGUGUGUGAGCUUUAGUGAGGAAGAAGGCGGAAACUCAUCGCUCCAAUGAAGGUUUUGGAUUACAUGCAGAUUUCAGCAAUCCAUGUGAUUCAUGGCCUCCAUAACAGCAAAUAAUUGGAACAACUGAAUAGCAACUGAAUGGCCGUGAGAAUAGAUGCCAAAAUAUUUAUAGCAACCCUUUUUGUGGGGGCAGAGAAUGGGAAGCAGAGUAGAUGCCCAUCGAUUGGAGAAUGGGAAAGCCAGUUGUGGUACUGAAUAUGAUGGAAUAGCACCAUGUUGGGAGAAAGGAUAAUCGCUAUAAAUACACAGAAGCAAGAAAAGACGUACAUGACGGAACCAAUGCAAAGUGAGCAGAAUCAGGGAAACAAUGUGAACAAUGACUAUAACAAUGGAAAUGGAAAGAAAAGCAACUUCAAUGAUGCUUCAAAAUUAUAAUAACCAAGAUUAGUCCCAAGGAAAAGAUAUGAGAAAACACCCCCACAACUUCUUUGAAAAAAUAGAGGACCAUAGAUAAGGAACACUACAUGUAAUAUCUGACUUCUCAAUAUUUUGGUAACUUUUAUGGAACUUUUUUUUUCUUCUUUAUAAUAAGGAAGGGUUCAGUGGGAGGUGUUUGGAGACAGAACCAAUGAAAAAUCUAAGUUUUGAAAAACAAGAUAUCAAUAGAAAUGUAAUUUUUUUUAGAAUUUUAUUUUCCAAAUUACAUGUAAAAGCAA